GAUGAACGCUGGCGGCGUGCCUAAUACAUGCAAGUCGAGCGAACAGACGAGGAUCUUGCUCCUCUGACGUUAGCGGCGGACGGGUGAGUAACACGUGGAUAACCUACCUAUAAGACUGGGAUAACUUCGGGAAACCGGAGCUAAUACCGGAUAAUAUAUUGAACCGCAUGGUUCAAUAGUGAAAGACGGUUUUGCUGUCACUUAUAGAUGGAUCCUCGCCGCAUUAGCUAGUUGGUAAGGUAACGGCUUACCAAGGCAACGAUGCGUAGCCGACCUGAGAGGGUGAUCGGCCACACUGGAACUGAGACACGGUCCAGACUCCUACGGGAGGCAGCAGUAGGGAAUCUUCCGCAAUGGGCGAAAGCCUGACGGAGCAACGCCGCGUGAGUGAUGAAGGUCUUCGGAUCGUAAAACUCUGUUAUUAGGGAAGAACAAAUGUGUAAGUAACUAUGCACGUCUUGACGGUACCUAAUCAGAAAGCCACGGCUAACUUCGUG
RNAcentral lists this ribosomal RNA (497 nucleotides) under uncultured bacterium. RNAcentral's name for it is "partial 16S ribosomal RNA". It matches the Rfam family "Bacterial small subunit ribosomal RNA", at positions 28 to 507 of the family's 1533-position model. The record is from RNAcentral.